AGGUGACCUGCGGAGGGAUCAUUACACAAAUAUGAAGGCGGGCUGGAACCUCUCGGGGUUACAGCCUUGCUGAAUUAUUCACCCUUGUCUUUUGCGUACUUCUUGUUUCCUUGGUGGGUUCGCCCACCACUAGGACAAACAUAAACCUUUUGUAAUUGCAAUCAGCGUCAGUAACAAAUUAAUAAUUACAACUUUCAACAACGGAUCUCUUGGUUCUGGCAUCGAUGAAGAACGCAGCGAAAUGCGAUAAGUAGUGUGAAUUGCAGAAUUCAGUGAAUCAUCGAAUCUUUGAACGCACAUUGCGCCCUUUGGUAUUCCAAAGGGCAUGCCUGUUCGAGCGUCAUUUGUACCCUCAAGCUUUGCUUGGUGUUGGGCGUCUUGUCUCUAGCUUUGCUGGAGACUCGCCUUAAAGUAAUUGGCAGCCGGCCUACUGGUUUCGGAGCGCAGCACAAGUCGCACUCUCUAUCAGCAAAGGUCUAGCAUCCAUUAAGCCUUUUUUUCAACUUUUGACCUCGGAUCAGGUAGGGAUACCCGCUGAACUUAAGCAUAUCAAUAA
RNAcentral lists this ribosomal RNA (556 nucleotides) under Alternaria sp. RNAcentral's name for it is "eukaryotic LSU rRNA". The stretch from base 190 to 343 matches the Rfam family "5.8S ribosomal RNA". The record is from RNAcentral. Lineage: Eukaryota; Fungi; Ascomycota; Dothideomycetes; Pleosporales; Pleosporaceae.